RNAcentral lists this ribosomal RNA (404 nucleotides) under uncultured bacterium. Its description in RNAcentral is "partial 16S ribosomal RNA". It matches the Rfam family "Bacterial small subunit ribosomal RNA", at positions 30 to 526 of the family's 1533-position model. The record is from RNAcentral.
AUUGAACGCUGGCGGCAGGCCUAACACAUGCAAGUCGAGCGAGCGGCGGACGGGUGAGUAAUGCCUGGGAAUUGCCCAGUCGAGGGGGAUAACAGUUGGAAACGACUGCUAAUACCGCAUACGAUUGGAUUGCCCAGGUGGGAUGAGCUAGUUGGUGAGUUAAUGGCUCACCAAGGCGACGAUCCCUAGCUGGUCUGCGUGGAUGAGCAGCCAAACUGGAACUGAGACACGGUCCAGACUCCGACGGGAGGCAGCAGUGGGGAAUAGUGCAAAAUGGGGGAAUGCCUGAUGCAGCCAUGCCGCGUGGGUGAAGAAGGCCUUAGGGUUGUAAAGUACUUUCAGCGAGGAGGCGUUACUCGCAGAAGAAGCACCGGCUAACUCCGUGCCAGCAGCCGCGGUAAUUC